CAUUUUGCGACACCGAACCUUGCCUUCGCACAAUGGUCAAAAAAGUAACAGGCAAGGGCGGGGGAACCACUUUUGGCUAGCCAUAUGGCCAGCCUUGGGGUGAAGCCCAAUCUCUUAAGCAUCACGACGUCGUGACGCUUUCCAUCGGAAAGCGCCAUGGAUAGACGUGUGCCAAGAGCCUGGGCCGGAUCAAAAGCAACACUCUCUGAUCCGAAUCCGACAGCUAACUCCGCAGGUGAACCACAGAGAGGUAAU
Molecule: small RNA, 255 nt
Filed under: Arthrobacter sp.
Lineage: Bacteria; Bacillati; Actinomycetota; Actinomycetes; Micrococcales; Micrococcaceae
Description: c-di-AMP sequence
Rfam family: c-di-AMP riboswitch aptamer (ydaO/yuaA leader)
About the family: This family represents a conserved RNA structure found upstream of the ydaO and yuaA genes in Bacillus subtilis and related genes in other bacteria. The ydaO/yuaA element is thought to act as a genetic "off" switch for the ydaO and yuaA genes in its native state.
Source: RNAcentral